This 253-nucleotide ribosomal RNA is filed under the name uncultured bacterium. RNAcentral describes it as "partial 16S ribosomal RNA". It matches the Rfam family "Bacterial small subunit ribosomal RNA", at positions 524 to 776 of the family's 1533-position model. The record is from RNAcentral.
UACGGAGGGAGCUAGCGUUGUUCGGAAUUACUGGGCGUAAAGCGUACGUAGGCGGCCAAUCCAGUCAGAUGUGAAAGCCCAGGGCUCAACCCUGGAAUUGCCUUUGAAACUAGUUGGCUUGAAGAUGGGAGAGGUGAGUGGAAUUCCGAGUGUAGAGGUGAAAUUCGUAGAUAUUCGGAAGAACACCAGUGGCGAAGGCGGCUCACUGGACCAUUCUUGACGCUGAGGUACGAAAGCGUGGGGAGCAAACAGG